AACGCUAGCUACAGGCUUAACACAUGCAAGUCGAGGGGAAACGAUAUUGGAAGCUUGCUUCCGAUAGGCGUCGACCGGCGCACGGGUGAGUAACGCGUAUCCAACCUGCCCACCACUUGGGGAUAACCUUGCGAAAGUAAGACUAAUACCCAAUGAUAUCUCAAGAAGACAUCUGAAUGAGAUUAAAGAUUUAUCGGUGAUGGAUGGGGAUGCGUCUGAUUAGCUUGUUGGCGGGGUAACGGCCCACCAAGGCUACGAUCAGUAGGGGUUCUGAGAGGAAGGUCCCCCACAUUGGAACUGAGACACGGUCCAAACUCCUACGGGAGGCAGCAGUGAGGAAUAUUGGUCAAUGGGCGAGAGCCUGAACCAGCCAAGUAGCGUGCAGGAUGACGGCCCUAUGGGUUGUAAACUGCUUUUAUAAGGGAAUAAAGUGAGUCUCGUGAGACUUUUUGCAUGUACCUUAUGAAUAAGGACCGGCUAAUUCCGUGCCAGCAGCCGCGGUAAUACGGAAGGUCCGGGCGUUAUCCGGAUUUAUUGGGUUUAAAGGGAGCGUAGGCCGGAGAUUAAGCGUGUUGUGAAAUGUAGAUGCUCAACAUCUGCACUGCAGCGCGAACUGGUUUCCUUGAGUACGCACAAAGUGGGCGGGAUUCGUGGUGUAGCGGUGAAAUGCUUAGAUAUCACGAAGAACUCCGAUUG
RNAcentral lists this ribosomal RNA (696 nucleotides) under uncultured bacterium. Its description in RNAcentral is "bacterial SSU rRNA". It matches the Rfam family "Bacterial small subunit ribosomal RNA", at positions 32 to 715 of the family's 1533-position model. The record is from RNAcentral.